GAUGAACGCUGGCGGCGUGCCUAAUACAUGCAAGUCGAGCGAACGGACGAGAAGCUUGCUUCUCUGAUGUUAGCGGCGGACGGGUGAGUAACACGUGGAUAACCUACCUAUAAGACUGGGAUAACUUCGGGAAACCGGAGCUAAUACCGGAUAAUAUUUUGAACCGCAUGGUUCAAAAGUGAAAGACGGUCUUGCUGUCACUUAUAGAUGGAUCCGCGCUGCAUUAGCUAGUUGGUAAGGUAACGGCUUACCAAGGCAACGAUGCAUAGCCGACCUGAGAGGGUGAUCGGCCACACUGGAACUGAGACACGGUCCAGACUCCUACGGGAGGCAGCAGUAGGGAAUCUUCCGCAAUGGGCGAAAGCCUGACGGAGCAACGCCGCGUGAGUGAUGAAGGUCUUCGGAUCGUAAAACUCUGUUAUUAGGGAAGAACAUAUGUGUAAGUAACUGUGCACAUCUUGACGGUACCUAAUCAGAAAGCCACGGCUAACUACGUGCCAGCAGCCGCGGUAAUACGUAGGUGGCAAGCGUUAUCCGGAAUUAUGNNGCGUAAGCGCGCGUAGGCGGUUUUUUAGUCUGAUGUGAAAGCCCACGGCUCACCCGUGGAGGGUCAUUGGAAACUGGAAAACUUGAGUGCAGAAGAGGAAAGUGGAAUUCCAUGUGUAGCGGUGAAAUGCGCAGAGAUAUGGAGGAACACCAGUGGCGAAGGCGACUUUCUGGUCUGUAACUGACGCUGAUGUGCGAAAGCGUGGGGAUCAAACAGGAUUAGAUACCCUGGUAGUCCACGCCGUAAACGAUGAGUGCUAAGUGUUAGGGGGUUUCCGCCCCUUAGUGCUGCAGCUAACGCAUUAAGCACUCCGCCUGGGGAGUACGACCGCAAGGUUGAAACUCAAAGGAAUUGACGGGGACCCGCACAAGCGGUGGAGCAUGUGGUUUAAUUCGAAGCAACGCGAAGAACCUUACCAAAUCUUGACAUCCUUUGACAACUCUAGAGAUAGAGCUUUCCCCUUCGGGGGACAAAGUGACAGGUGGUGCAUGGUUGUCGUCAGCUCGUGUCGUGAGAUGUUGGGUUAAGUCCCGCAACGAGCGCAACCCUUAAGCUUAGUUGCCAUCAUUAAGUUGGGCACUCUAAGUUGACUGCCGGUGACAAACCGGAGGAAGGUGGGGAUGACGUCAAAUCAUCAUGCCCCUUAUGAUUUGGGCUACACACGUGCUACAAUGGACAAUACAAAGGGCAGCGAAACCGUGAGGUCAAGCAAAUCCCAUAAAGUUGUUCUCAGUUCGGAUUGUAGUCUGCAACUCGACUACAUGAAGCUGGAAUCGCUAGUAAUCGUAGAUCAGCAUGCUACGGUGAAUACGUUCCCGGGUCU
This 1370-nucleotide ribosomal RNA is filed under the name uncultured bacterium. RNAcentral's name for it is "bacterial SSU rRNA". It matches the Rfam family "Bacterial small subunit ribosomal RNA", at positions 28 to 1381 of the family's 1533-position model. The record is from RNAcentral.